This 68-nucleotide transfer RNA is filed under the name Salea horsfieldii. RNAcentral's name for it is "tRNA-Met". The record is from RNAcentral. Lineage: Eukaryota; Metazoa; Chordata; Lepidosauria; Squamata; Agamidae.
CAUUAGGAUCUGCUACACAAGCAAUUGGGCCCAUACCCCAAAAACGGUGCUACCACCACCUCCUAACA